Molecule: transfer RNA, 90 nt
Filed under: Streptomyces sp. ZS0098
Lineage: Bacteria; Bacillati; Actinomycetota; Actinomycetes; Kitasatosporales; Streptomycetaceae
Description: tRNA-OTHER
Rfam family: tRNA
About the family: Transfer RNA (tRNA) molecules are approximately 80 nucleotides in length.
Source: RNAcentral
GGAGGAUUGGCCGAGUGGUAAGGCACCGGCUUGGCUCAAGCCGUGGUCGGGUGAGAGCCCGCGCACGUUCGAUCCGUGCAUCCUCCGCCG